Molecule: long non-coding RNA, 501 nt
Filed under: Elaeis guineensis (African oil palm)
Lineage: Eukaryota; Viridiplantae; Streptophyta; Magnoliopsida; Arecales; Arecaceae
Description: long non-coding RNA (EGUI_LNC039809)
Source: RNAcentral
CUUCGAUGGUCGAUCAGAUGCCUCCUUCUUCUUGAUUUGGACUCUUCCAAAGAUAAGAAGUAAGAAAAAGAGUUUUAGAUCUGAGACACUCUCAGAAAACUCAAGAUGGAGGAAGAGAAGAGGUGAACACAGCAACCCUAGAAGAAGACCCUCUUCUUCUUCUCUUUGCUCUCACCUAGAUACCUAGUCUUGUGUCUAUUGUAUCUCCAUACCCCAACCUUCUUUCUCUCUAAUUUUUGCACACCCCAAAGGAUUCUCUUUUCUCUAUUUUUCAUAAAAAUUUUAUGAAUAAAUUCAUUUUAAAUAAAAAGAUAUGAUAGAGUAUUUUUCUAGGUCAAAUACCUGUCAAAGAUUAUCCAAACAUGGUAAGACAAGGGGCGCCGAACUCUUGGUCGCCCCUCUUUCUUUUUAUGCAAGGACCACCAGCAAAGAGCACAUAUUAUGUGUCAUAACAGUCACAAAAAUCUUAAAAAAAAUUUGAAUAAAAUCAGUGCCAUAAGG